UCGUAGUUGAAUUUGUGUCUUGCGCUGUCGGUUCAUCGCUUGAAUGCGGUGUUUAACUGGCACGUUGUGAGACGUCUUGCCGGAAGGGCAUGGUAUGUAUUUGGUUAUGUUUUAUUUUAAUUUAAUGGUGAUGUUGAAAAAUAUUAAUGUAUAUGGUGUGUAAAAGCCUGUAUAUAUUAUUUAUUACAUAUGCAUUAUCAUUGUUAAGAUAUUUCUAACUUGAUGCGUACGUAGUCCGACUUCUAAUCCUGUCUAGGUGCUCUUAACUGAGUGUCGUGGCGGGCCGGCACGUUUACUUUGAACAAAUUAGAGUGCUUAAAGCAGGCUUAUGUUGCCUGAAUAUAGUGUGCAUGGAAUAAUGAAACAGGACCUCGGUUCUAUUUUGUUGGUUUUCUGAACUAACGAGGUAAUGAUUAAUAGGGACAGAUGGGGGCAUUCGUAUUGCGACGUUAGAGGUGAAAUUCUUGGAUCG
This 472-nucleotide ribosomal RNA is filed under the name Phaeoxantha klugi. Its description in RNAcentral is "bacterial SSU rRNA". The stretch from base 162 to 472 matches the Rfam family "Eukaryotic small subunit ribosomal RNA", at positions 622 to 927 of the family's 1831-position model. Lineage: Eukaryota; Metazoa; Arthropoda; Insecta; Coleoptera; Carabidae. The record is from RNAcentral.